This 486-nucleotide ribosomal RNA is filed under the name uncultured bacterium. Its description in RNAcentral is "partial 16S ribosomal RNA". It matches the Rfam family "Bacterial small subunit ribosomal RNA", at positions 36 to 507 of the family's 1533-position model. The record is from RNAcentral.
CUUUCCCUCUGGCGGCAUGCCUUACACAUGCAAGUCGAACGGCAGCACGGGUGCUUGCACCUGGUGGCGAGUGGCGAACGGGUGAGUAAUACAUCGGAACAUGUCCUGUAGUGGGGGAUAGCCCGGCGAAAGCCGGAUUAAUACCGCAUACGAUCUACGGAUGAAAGCGGGGGACCUUCGGGCCUCGCGCUAUAGGGUUGGCCGAUGGCUGAUUAGCUAGUUGGUGGGGUAAAGGCCUACCAAGGCGACGAUCAGUAGCUGGUCUGAGAGGACGACCAGCCACACUGGGACUGAGACACGGCCCAGACUCCUACGGGAGGCAGCAGUGGGGAAUUUUGGACAAAGGGCGAAAGCCUGAUCCAGCAAUGCCGCGUGUGUGAAGAAGGCCUUCGGGUUGUAAAGCACUUUUGUCCGGAAAGAAAUCCUUGGCCCUAAUACGGUCGGGGGAUGACGGUACCGGAAGAAUAAGCACCGGCUAACUACGUG